This 254-nucleotide unclassified non-coding RNA is filed under the name uncultured fungus. RNAcentral's name for it is "sequence contains ITS2". Lineage: Eukaryota; Fungi. The record is from RNAcentral.
AACGCACAUUGCGCCCGCUAGUAUUCUGGCGGGCAUGCCUGUUCGAGCGUCAUUUCAACCCUCAGGCCUUAUGCGCCUGGCGAUGGGGAUUCCGCGGUUGCUCGCGGACCCUGAAAGAUAGCGGCGGGCUCCUCGACACUCCGAGCGCAGUAAAUUUUCUCUCGCUCAGGGGCGUUGUCGACGGGGCCCUGCCUCAAACCAAUACUCUCUAAGAGGUUGACCUCGGAUCAGGUAGGAAUACCCGCUGAACUUAA